This 562-nucleotide ribosomal RNA is filed under the name Xiphinema sp. NK-2011a. Its description in RNAcentral is "SSU rRNA". It matches the Rfam family "Eukaryotic small subunit ribosomal RNA", at positions 1059 to 1643 of the family's 1831-position model. Lineage: Eukaryota; Metazoa; Nematoda; Enoplea; Dorylaimida; Longidoridae. The record is from RNAcentral.
GGUGUUAAUAUACGACCCGACUAGCAGCUUCCGGGAAACCAAAGUUUUUCGUUUCCGGGGGAAGUAUGGUUGCAAAGCUGAAACUUAAAGGAAUUGACGGAAGGGCACCACCAGGAGUGGAGCCUGCGGCUUAAUUUGACUCAACACGGGAAAACUCACCCGGCCCGGACACCGUAAGGAUUGACAGACUGAGAGCUCUUUCUUAAUUCGGUGGGUGGUGGUGCAUGGCCGUUCUUAGUUGGUGGAGCGAUUUGUCUGGUUAAUUCCGAUAACGAACGAGACUCUGGCCUAUUAAAUAGUCGGUAUAUCCGGAAAAGUUUACCGUACUUCUUAGAGGGACAAACGGCGUCUAGCCGCGUGAAAUAGAGCAAUAACAGGUCUGUGAUGCCCUUAGAUGUCCGGGGCUGCACGCGCGCUACACUGAAAGAAUCAGUAUGCGCUUUAACCUAGUCCGGAAGGAUUGGGUAACCCGAGCAAAUUCUUUCGUGCUUGGGAUAGGGAAUUGCAAUUAUUUCCCUUAAACGAGGAAUUCCCAGUAAAUGCGGGUCAUAAGCUCGCGUUG